GUCUGUGUAGUAUAUUAAUUACACUGGUCUUGUAAACCAGAAAAGGGGGCAACACCCCCGCAGACUC
RNAcentral lists this transfer RNA (67 nucleotides) under Brachyphylla cavernarum (Antillean fruit-eating bat). RNAcentral's name for it is "transfer RNA-Thr". Lineage: Eukaryota; Metazoa; Chordata; Mammalia; Chiroptera; Phyllostomidae. The record is from RNAcentral.